GACGAACGCUGGCGGCGUGCUUAACACAUGCAAGUCGAACGAGACCUUCGGGUCUAGUGGCGCACGGGUGCGUAACGCGUGGGAAUCUGCCCUUAGGUACGGAAUAACUCAGGGAAACUUGAGCUAAUACCGUAUAAUGACUUCGGUCCAAAGAUUUAUCGCCUAAGGAUGAGCCCGCGUAGGAUUAGCUUGUUGGUGAGGUAAAAGCUCACCAAGGCGACGAUCCUUAGCUGGUCUGAGAGGAUGAUCAGCCACACUGGGACUGAGACACGGCCCAGACUCCUACGGGAGGCAGCAGUGGGGAAGUAUUGGUACGAAUGGGCGAAAGACCUGAUCCAACAAUAGCCGCGUGAGUGAUGAAGGCC
Molecule: ribosomal RNA, 365 nt
Filed under: uncultured bacterium
Lineage: Bacteria
Description: bacterial SSU rRNA
Rfam family: Bacterial small subunit ribosomal RNA
Source: RNAcentral